UACCAGCACCCCGAGUGGUCGGGACGAUUAUUGGGCCUAAAGCAUCCGUAGCCGGUUUUACAAGUCCUCCGUUAAAUCCAGCUGCUUAACAGAUGGGCUGCGGAGGAUACUAUAAGACUAGGAGGCAGGAGAGGCAAGCGGUACUCAGUGGGUAGGGGUAAAAUCCGUUGAUCCAUUGAAGACCACCAGUGGCGAAGGCGGCUUGCCAGAAUGCGCUCGACGGUGAGGGAUGAAAGCUGGUGGAGCAAACCGG
Molecule: ribosomal RNA, 253 nt
Filed under: uncultured bacterium
Lineage: Bacteria
Description: partial 16S ribosomal RNA
Rfam family: Archaeal small subunit ribosomal RNA
Source: RNAcentral